Molecule: ribosomal RNA, 1463 nt
Filed under: uncultured Bordetella sp.
Lineage: Bacteria; Pseudomonadati; Pseudomonadota; Betaproteobacteria; Burkholderiales; Alcaligenaceae
Description: partial 16S-23S ribosomal RNA intergenic spacer
Rfam family: Bacterial small subunit ribosomal RNA
Source: RNAcentral
AGUUGGAUCACACUCAGAUUGAACGCUGGCGUGGAUGUUUUGCCACAUGCAAGUCGAACGCACGGACUUCGGUCUGGUGGCGGAAAAAGUAGAACGGGUGAGUAAUGUAAUGGAACGCCUAGUAGUGUGGGGAUAACUACGCGAAAGUAGCUAAUACCGCAUACGCCCUUCGGGAAAGCGGGGGGACCUCUUCGGGCCUGCACCGUUAGAGCGGCCGAUAUCGGAUUAGCCAGUUGGUGGGGUAACGGCUCACCGGGCGACGAUCCGUAGCUGGUUUGGAGAGGACUCCACCAGCCACACUGGGACUCGAGACACGGCCCAGACUCUACGGGAGGCAGCAGUGGGGAAUUUUGGACAAUGGGGGAAACCCUGAUCCAGUCAUCCCGCGUGUGCGAUGAAGGCCUUCGGGUUGUAAAGCACUUUGGCAGGGAAAGAAACGGCACGGGAUAAUACCCCGUGCAACUGACGGUACCUGCAGAAUAAGCACCUACAAUUACGCCAGCAGCCGCGGUAAUACGUAGGGUGCAAGCGUUAAUCGGAAUUACUGGGCGUAAAGCGUGCGCAGGCGGUUCGGAAAGAAAGACAGAACCUAGUGAGCUAACUUUGGAACUGCAUUUUUAACUACCGAGCUAGAGUGUGUCAGAGGGAGGUGGAAUUCGCGUGUAGCAGUGAAUGCAGAUAUGCGAGGAACACUGAUGGCGAAGGUAGCCCCUGAUAACACUGACGCUCAUGCACGAAAGCGUGUGAGCAAACAGGAUUAGAUACCCUGGUAGUCCACGCCCUAAACGAUGUCAACUAGCUGUUGGGGCCUUCGGGCUCGGUAGCGCAGCUAACGCGUGAAGUUGACCGCCUGGGGAGUACGGUCGCAAGAUUAAAACUGAAGGAAUUGACGGGACCCGCACAAGCGGUGGAUGAUGUGGAUUGACCUGAUGCAACGCGAAAACCUUACCUACUCCCUUGACAUGUCUGGAAUCCCGAAGAGAUUUGGAGUGCUCGCAAGAGAACCGGAACACAGGUGCUGUAUGGCUGUCGUCAGCUCGUGUCGUGAGAUGUUGGGUUAAGUCCCGCAACGAGCGCAACCCUUGUCAUUAGUUGCUACGAAAGGGCACUAAUGAGAUCGCCGGUGACAAACCGGAGGAAGGUGAUGACGCUUGUCCUCGCGCAUCUUUAUGGGUAGGGCUUCUACACGUCAUACAAUGGUCGGGACAGAGGGUCGCCAACCCGCGAGGGGGGAGCUAAUCCAGAAACCCGAUCGUAGUCCGGAUCGCAGUCUGCAACUCGACUGCGUGAAGUCGGAACUCCAUAGUAAUCGCGGAUCAGCAUGUCGCGGUAAUAUUGCCCCGGUCUUGUACACACUGCCCGUCACACCAUGGGAGGUGGGUUUUACCAGAAGUAGUUAGCCUAACCGUAAGGAGGGCGAUUACCACGGUAGGAUUCAUGAUUGGGUGAAGUCGUAACAAGGC